CCGCACGCGCGCUACACUGAAGGAAUCAGCGUGUUUUUGCCCUGGCCCGGAAGGGUUGGGUAACCCGUUGAACCUCCUUCGUGCUAGGGAUUGGGGCUUGUAAUUAUUCCCCAUGAACGAGGAAUUCCCAGUAAGCGCGAGUCAUAAGCUCGCGUUGAUUACGU
RNAcentral lists this ribosomal RNA (164 nucleotides) under uncultured eukaryote. Its description in RNAcentral is "partial 18S rRNA". It matches the Rfam family "Eukaryotic small subunit ribosomal RNA", at positions 1487 to 1650 of the family's 1831-position model. The record is from RNAcentral.